UUGGAGGGCAAGUCUGGUGCCAGCAGCCGCGGUAAUUCCAGCUCCAAUAGCGUAUAUUAAAGUUGUUGCAGUUAAAAAGCUCGUAGUUGAACCUCGGGAUCAAUGGAUCGGUCAUGCCAAUGGUAUGUACUGGUCAUAUUGGUUCUCACCUUCUAAGGAACCAUGAUGUCAUUCAUUUGAUGUUGUGGGGAAUUAGGACUGUUACCUUGAAAAAAUUAGAGUGUUUAAAGCAGGCUAACGCUUGAAUACAUUAGCAUGGAAUAAUGAAAUAGGACAUCGCAUUCUAUUUCGUUGGUUUCUAGGAUCACCGUAAUGAUUAAUAGGGAUAGUUGGGGGCAUUAGUAUUCAAUUGUCAGAGGUGAAAUUCUUGGAUUUAUUGAAGACUAACUACUGCGAAAGCAUUUGCCAAGGAUGUUUUCAUUAAUCAAGAACGAAAGUUAGGGGAUCGAAGACGAUCAGAUACCGUCGUAGUCUUAACCAUAAACUAUGCCGACUAGGGAUCGGACGAAGUUAAUUUUAUAAUGACGCGUUCGGCGCCUUACGGGAAAC
This 549-nucleotide ribosomal RNA is filed under the name uncultured Glomus. Its description in RNAcentral is "SSU rRNA". It matches the Rfam family "Eukaryotic small subunit ribosomal RNA", at positions 548 to 1098 of the family's 1831-position model. The record is from RNAcentral. Lineage: Eukaryota; Fungi; Glomeromycota; Glomeromycetes; Glomerales; Glomeraceae.